UGCAUCGGCCAGGAAUCGAACCUGGGCCGCCCGCGUGGCAGGCGAGCAUUCUACCACUGAACCACCGAUGG
Molecule: transfer RNA, 71 nt
Filed under: Cordylochernes scorpioides
Lineage: Eukaryota; Metazoa; Arthropoda; Arachnida; Pseudoscorpiones; Chernetidae
Description: tRNA-Gly
Source: RNAcentral